RNAcentral lists this ribosomal RNA (256 nucleotides) under uncultured bacterium. Its description in RNAcentral is "partial 16S ribosomal RNA". It matches the Rfam family "Bacterial small subunit ribosomal RNA", at positions 524 to 776 of the family's 1533-position model. The record is from RNAcentral.
UACGUAGGAGGCGAGCGUUGUCCGGAGUUACUGGGCGUAAAGGGUGCGCAGGCGGCGGUUCGCGUGGAUAGAUGAAAUCUCCUGGCUUACCUGGGAGGAUGGUAUCCAGACGGGAUCGCUUGAGGGUCGGAGAGGGGCGGUGGAAUUCCGGGUGGAGCGGUGAAAUGCGUAGAGAUCCGGAGGAACACCGACGGCGUAGGCAGCGCCCUGGACGACACCUGACGCUGAGGCACGGAAAGCUGGGGGAGCGAACAGG